AUCCUUGUUUGCCAGCGAGUAAUGUCGGGAACUCCAGGGAGACUGCCGGUGAUAAACCGGAGGAAGGUGGGGACGACGUCAAGUCAUCAUGGCCCUUACGAGUAGGGCUACACACGUGCUACAAUGGCGCAUACAGAGGGCAGCGAACUUGCGAAAGUAAGCGAAUCCCAAAAAGUGCGUCGUAGUCCGGAUUGGAGUCUGCAACUCGACUCCAUGAAGUCGGAAUCGCUAGUAAUCGUGGAUCAGAAUGCCACGGUGAAUACGUUCCCGGGCCUUGUACACACCGCCCGUCACACCAUGGGAGUGGGCUGCAAAAGAAGUAGGUAGUUUAACCUUCGGGAGGACGCUUA
This 350-nucleotide ribosomal RNA is filed under the name Vibrio sp. 1837. RNAcentral describes it as "bacterial SSU rRNA". It matches the Rfam family "Bacterial small subunit ribosomal RNA", at positions 1107 to 1456 of the family's 1533-position model. The record is from RNAcentral. Lineage: Bacteria; Pseudomonadati; Pseudomonadota; Gammaproteobacteria; Vibrionales; Vibrionaceae.